AAAGAGGAGUGGCGAACGGGUGAGUAACACGUGGGUAACCUGCCCAUCAGAAGGGGAUAACACUUGGAAACAGGUGCUAAUACCGUAUAACAAUCAAAACCGCAAGGUUUUGAUUUGAAAGGCGCUUUCGGGUGUCGCUGAUGGAUGGACCCGCGGUGCAUUAGCUAGUUGGUGAGGUAACGGCUCACCAAGGCCACGAUGCAUAGCCGACCUGAGAGGGUGAUCGGCCACAUUGGGACUGAGACACGGCCCAAACUCCUACGGGAGGCAGCAGUAGGGAAUCUUCGGCAAUGGACGAAAGUCUGACCGAGCAACGCCGCGUGAGUGAAGAAGGUUUUCGGAUCGUAAAACUCUGUUGUUAGAGAAGAACAAGGAUGAGAGUAACUGUUCAUCCCUUGACGGUAUCUAACCAGAAAGCCACGGCUAACUACGUGCCAGCAGCCGCGGUAAUACGUAGGUGGCAAGCGUUGUCCGGA
This 476-nucleotide ribosomal RNA is filed under the name Enterococcus faecium. RNAcentral describes it as "bacterial SSU rRNA". It matches the Rfam family "Bacterial small subunit ribosomal RNA", at positions 87 to 549 of the family's 1533-position model. Lineage: Bacteria; Bacillati; Bacillota; Bacilli; Lactobacillales; Enterococcaceae. The record is from RNAcentral.